This 477-nucleotide ribosomal RNA is filed under the name uncultured bacterium. Its description in RNAcentral is "partial 16S ribosomal RNA". It matches the Rfam family "Bacterial small subunit ribosomal RNA", at positions 28 to 507 of the family's 1533-position model. The record is from RNAcentral.
GAUGAACGCUGGCGGCGUGCCUAACACAUGCAAGUCGAACGAAGCACCUUACCUGAUUCUUCGGAUGAAAGUUUGGUGACUGAGUGGCGGACGGGUGAGUAACGCGUGGGUAACCUGCCCUGUACAGGGGGAUAACAGCUGGAAACGGCUGCUAAUACCGCAUAAGCGCACGAGGAGACAUCUCCUUGUGUGAAAAACUCCGGUGGUACAGGAUGGGCCCGCGUCUGAUUAGCUGGUUGGCAGGGUAACGGCCUACCAAGGCAACGAUCAGUAGCCGGUCUGAGAGGAUGAACGGCCACAUUGGAACUGAGACACGGUCCAAACUCCUACGGGAGGCAGCAGUGGGGAAUAUUGCACAAUGGGGGAAACCCUGAUGCAGCAACGCCGCGUGAGUGAAGAAGUAUUUCGGUAUGUAAAGCUCUAUCAGCAGGGAAGAUAAUGAUGGUACCUGAAUAAGAAGCGCCGGCUAAAUACGUG